AACGAACGCUGGCGGCAGGCUUAACACAUGCAAGUCGAGCGAGACCUUCGGGUCUAGCGGCGGACGGGUGAGUAACGCGUGGGAACGUGCCCUUCUCUACGGAAUAGCUCCGGGAAACUGGGAGUAAUACCGUAUACGCCCUUUGGGGGAAAGAUUUAUCGGAGAAGGAUCGGCCCGCGUUGGAUUAGGUAGUUGGUGGGGUAAUGGCCCACCAAGCCGACGAUCCAUAGCUGGUUUGAGAGGAUGAUCAGCCACACUGGGACUGAGACACGGCCCAGACUCCUACGGGAGGCAGCAGUGGGGAAUCUUAGACAAUGGGGGCAACCCUGAUCUAGCCAUGCCGCGUGAGUGAUGAAGGCCUUAGGGUUGUAAAGCUCUUUCAGCUGGGAAGAUAAUGACGGUACCAGCAGAAGAAGCCCCGGCUAACUCCGUG
RNAcentral lists this ribosomal RNA (433 nucleotides) under uncultured bacterium. RNAcentral describes it as "partial 16S ribosomal RNA". It matches the Rfam family "Bacterial small subunit ribosomal RNA", at positions 29 to 507 of the family's 1533-position model. The record is from RNAcentral.